Mastomys coucha (southern multimammate mouse) is the source of this 154-nucleotide long non-coding RNA. RefSeq lists it as uncharacterized. The transcript has 3 exons. NCBI's taxonomy places the organism in Eukaryota, Metazoa, Chordata, Mammalia, Rodentia, Muridae. The record is from RefSeq and is a predicted model, not a curated record.
UGGCUUCACAGGUGGCCUCCAACACAGACUAUGCUGGGCUCUGCACGCAGACAUGUUGAUCAUUUGAGAGCUGUUUGGGCCAAGACUAUAAUCCAGGACUAACUUGGCCAGCUGCCCACUGAAGCUGAUUCCUGGAAAUUUAAUAAGAAGCCUG